CCCUUAGAUGUUCUGGGCGGCCCGCGCACUACAAUGGCGUGUGCAGCGAGUGCCGAAGUAGAGUUUUCCGAGGUAUUCUUGCACUGCUCGUUUUGAUGGGGAUAGACCCUUGCAACUGUUGGUUUUGAACGAGGAAUUCCUUGUAAGCAUGGUUUAUCAUCCGACGCUGAAUGCGUCCCUGCCCUUUGUACACACCGCCCGUCGCUCCUACCGAUGAGUCGUCCGGUGAAGUUCGUAGACCUCGUGAUCGCGGAUCACUGGGGGAAGCAAAAUGAACCUCGCGGUUUAGAGGAAGGAGAAGUCGUAACA
RNAcentral lists this ribosomal RNA (309 nucleotides) under uncultured eukaryote. RNAcentral describes it as "partial 18S ribosomal RNA". It matches the Rfam family "Eukaryotic small subunit ribosomal RNA", at positions 1470 to 1796 of the family's 1831-position model. The record is from RNAcentral.